GUGUCUGUCAGCCAGUUUCCCAGCCCCUGGUGCACUGAAGCUCAGGCCUUUCCUGGCAUCCUGGCCUCCUGCACUGAGCUGUGUGAGUGCUUCUGCCCAGGCAGGCCACUUGGCAUUGACCGGUAUAGAUGGUGACCCUGAAGAAAGACUUCAGUUGGGCCUGAAGGCCCCGGGCCAGUGUCCAUCAUCCAGGUGCUCAGCUCCCAGUGCACUGAAGCUCAGACCCUUCCUGGUUCCCUGGUCUCUUGCACUGAGCUCUGAUGGUGAGACUUGAGGAAGACUUCCACUGGGCCUGCUUUUCCUGAGCCAGUGCCCAUCACCCAGGUGCUCAGUCCCUGGUGCACUGAAGCUCCAGCCCUUCCUGGCGCCCUGGUCUCCUGAACUGAGCUGUGUGAGCUCUUCUGCCAAGCGGUUCCCCUGGCAUUGACCAACAUAGAUGGUGAGCCUGGAGGAAGACUUGCGUUGGGCCCAAAGGCCCUAGACCAGUGUCUGUCAGCCAGGUUCCCAACCCCCGAUGCGCUGAAGCUCAAGCCUUUCCUGGCACCCUGGUCUCCUGCACUGAGCUGUGUGAGCUCUUCUGCCCAGGCGGGCCCCCUGGAAUUGAUGGGUAUAGAUGGUGACCCCGGAGGAAAAUUUGUGUUGGGCCCACUAUCCCUGGGCCAAUGUCAGUCAGCUAGGCACCCAGCCCCCAGUGCGCUGAAGCUCAGGACCUUCCUAGUGCCCUCGGCUCCUGCACUGAGCUCUGAUGGUAAGCCUGGAGGAAGACUUGUGUUGGGCCCACAGGCCCCAGGCCAAUGUCUGUCAGCCAGGUGCUCAGCCUCUGGUGCGCUGAAACUCUGACCCUUCCUGGCACACUGGUCUCCUGCACUGAGCUGGGAUUUUCCACCUAGGAGGUCCACCUGGCAUUGACUGACAUAGAUGGUGAGACUUCUGUCGGCCUCGCUUUUCCUGGGCCAGUGUCCAUCAGCCAGGUGCUCAGCCCCAGUGCACUGAAGCUCCAGCCCUUCCUGGCGCCCUGGACUGAGCUGUGUGAGCUCUUCUGCCAAGGGGGUCCUCCUGGCAUUGACCAACAUAGGUGGUGAGCCUGGAGGAAGACUUGCAUUGGGCCCAAUGGCCCUGGACCAGUGUCUGUCAGCCAGGUUCCCAGCCCCCGAUGCGCUGAAGCUCAAGCCUUUCCUGGCACCCUGGUCUCCUGCACUGAGCUGUGUGAGCUCUUCGGCCCAAGUGGUCCCCCCGGCCUUAAGCGGCAUAGAUGGUGAGCCUGGAGGAAGACUCGUGUUGGGCCCACAGGCCCCAGGCCAGUGUACGUCAGCCAGGUGCUCAGCCCAUGGUGUGCUGAAGCUCUGACCCUUCCUGACUCCGUGGUCUCCUGCACUGAGCUGUGAUGACCAUAUCCAGUGAGCUCUUCCAAACAGGUGGGCUCCCUAGCAUUGACCGACAGAGUGAGCUCUGCCACCCAGGACAUCCCCCUGGCAUUGACUGGCAUAGAUGCUGACCCUGGAGGAAGACUUGUGUCGGGCCCCCAGGCCCCAGGCCAGUGUCCAUCAGCCAGGUGCUCAGCUCCCAGUGCGCUGAAGCUCAGACCCUUCCUGGCACCCUGGUGUCCAGCACUGAGCUGUGUGAGCUUUUCCACCCAGGUGGGCCCCCUGGCAUUGACCGACAUAGAUGAUGAGACUGGAGGAAGACUUCCAUUGGGCCCACUUUUCCUGGGCCAGUGUCCAUCAGCCAGGUGCUCAGCCCCUGGUGUACUGAAGCUCCAGCCUUUCCUGGUGCCCCAGUCUUCUGCACUAAGCUGUGUGAGCUCUUCCACCCAGGAGGGCCCCUUGGCAUUGACUGGCAUAGAUGGUGAGACGGGAGGAAGACUUGUGUUGGGCCUGCUGUUCCUGGGCCAGUGGCCAUCAGCCUGUUGCCCAGCCCCUGAGGCGCUGAAGCUCAGGCCCUUCCUCACACCCUGGUCUCCUGCACUAGCUGUGUGAGCUCUUCUGCCCAGGUGGGGCCCAUGGCCUUACACGACAUAGGAGCACGCAUUUCUUGAAGUCCUGCAAAGGUGAUGGUGGUCCAGACAGGAGAGGGUUCCUUCAGCCCAACAUAGCGCAGCUCCCAGCUGAAACUCGGAAGGCUGGUCAGGCCUCGAGGACUGCCCAGGCCACAUGAGGGUUUGGUGGCCGGGAGGGCCAAUGAUGCUCUGCGUCUGUGUUGGAUCAGUGUUCUUCAUGGAUUCCAUCACAUGGUGAGCCUUGAGGAAGACUUGUAUUGGGCCCCCACAGGCCCCAGGCCAGUGUCCGUCAGCCUGGUGCUCACCCCCAGUGUGCUGAAGCUCAGACCCUCCGUGGCACCCUGGUCUCCUGCACUGAGCUGUGUGAACUUUUCCUCCCAGAUGGGCCCCCUGGCAUUGACUGGCAUAGAUGGUGAGACCGGAGGAAGACUUGCAUUGGGCCUGUUGUUCCUGGGCCAGUGGCCAUCAGCCUGUUGCCCAGCCCCUGAUGCGCUGAAGCUCGGGCCCUUCCUCGCGCCCUGGUCUCCUGCACUGAGCUGUGUGAGCUCUUCUGCCCAGGUGAGGCCCAUGGCCUUAAGCGGCAUAGAUGGUGAGCCUGGAGGAAGACUUGUAUUGGGACCCUACAGGCCCCAGGCCAGUGUCUGUCAGCCUGGUGCUCAUCCCCCAGUGCGCUGAAGCUCAGACCCUCCCUGGCACCCUGGUCUCCUGCACUGAGCUGUGAUGGUGAGUCUGGAGGAAGACUUGUGUUGGACCCCCACAGGCCCCAGGCCAGUGUCCAUCAGCCUGGUGCUAAUCCCCCAGUGCUCUGGAGUUUGGACCCUCCCUGGCACCCUGGUCUCCUGCACUGAGCUGUGUGAGCUCUUCCACCCGGGCGGGCCCCCGGCAUUGACUGGCAUAGGUGGUGAGCCCGGAGGAGGACUUGCGUUCGGCCCGCUGGUCCCAGUGUGUCCGGAAUUGGUGGGUUCUUGGUCUCACUGACUUCAAGAAUGAAGCUGCGGACCCUCGCUAUGAUGAUAUGGAAGAAAAGCACUCUUUGGCCUGUUGUGACUGGGACAGUUGACAGCACCCAGGUGUCCUUUAAUGAAAAUGCUCUUGACACCAAUGCAUCCUAGCAUCACAGCUUCAGGAAGCCUUCUCAAGUGUGCAUGGGGAGUACUAUGUCUUUCAUCAAUAAUGAAAUCUUCUGAUUUGUAAGACAUGCUGCCAAGAGAUGUGCCAUUCUAUUAUAAAAGAUCAGUAGCUUCCUUUACCGACGUGUAUAUUCUAUCUAGAACAUUGAGCUAUGGAAGACUCCCACCUAAGGGAAUUAGUUUUACACCUUCAGAUAAAGACUGCUGAGAAGAGCACCCUCUGGUGUUGUCACAGAGGCAAGUGCUACCGCACAGGCAUGCUGCAGUGAAUUUAACUGAUCCUCUGUCCCUGCAACCGUUGUUUAAGGAUGCUAUUCUGAAAAGACUGUGGAGGAAGAAAACCCUUUACCCUGUUGUUCAGGGAGAAACUGACACCACUCAACUGCCUGGCACUGAAAAUGUGGCAUCCAGUCCACUUUACCAUCAGUGUUUAAGGAAACCAUCUCUGAUAAGGAUGACUGAGGAAGAGUACUCUUUGGCUUGUUGACACCAGCACAGCUGACACACCCAGAUAUCUGUUUGGUCUCCUGUGAACUUUCAACCAGGAUUUAAGGAUGCCACUCUGGUUAAAAGCUGAAACAACUUCAAGGAAACUUCAGGGAAAAGAGAAGGCCUGGAAUCUGAUCCUCCACUUCAGAGAACAGGGUUCACUAAAAAAAUGAAUUUACAAGACAACUGGAAUAUAAGCAAUGAAUACAAGCACUAAGAAGAUGAAGCCAUAGAAACAGCUGCCAGAAAGUGAAGAUGUGACAGUGAACGCCAAACAAAGAAAAAAGUGCAUGUGAAAUACUACUACUUAUCCAUCUCCUGGCUCUGAGCAGUACAUGUCAGGAACAAGAGGGAAUUGUAGCUGGAAGACAGUAGAAGAGCCAUAGGACAAGUCUCUAAGAGAAGGAAGAAAAGGCGCAAUGAAAGAAAACAAGUUUAAGAUAGUAGAAAAGCAUUCAAAGACGGCAACCUGAGGUGGUGGAGUCUAUGGCCCUUCUCCUUGAAUCUGAGUGAAAUUAGUGAGUCUUUCAAUCCAAAGACUACAGUCAUACCUCAACUAUCUACAGAGGACUGGUUCCAGGACUCCCAUGGAUCCCAAAAUCCAAGGAUGCUUCGAAUCCCUUAUAUAAAAUGGCAUGGUAUUUGCAUAUAACCUACAUGCAUCUUCAAAUAUGUUAAACCAUCUCUAGAUUACUUAUAAUACCAAAUACAAUGUAAUGCUAUGUAAACAGUUGUUACAAUGUAUUGUCAAAGACAAGCUCUCCUUGCCAAUCCCUGACCAAAUGAGAGAUUCAUGAGCAAAAUAAAUAGUUGCUGAUAUUUAAGGCACUAAGUUUGGGGCAAUGUAUUACACAGCAAUAAAUAACUGGAACAGCAUAGUAAAUUCUAGUUAAAAAUACUAAACUACUAAGUUUUAGUUAACAUACAUGCUCAAGUUAAGGGUGUGGUAUACUAACAACUGCAACUUACUUUGAAAAGCAUAAAAAAAGACACUAGAAGAAGACAGGAUGGAUAGAUGGACAAGAUAGAAGACAAUAACAAAUAG
This 4660-nucleotide long non-coding RNA is filed under the name Homo sapiens (human). RNAcentral's name for it is "small nucleolar RNA host gene 14". The record is from RNAcentral. Lineage: Eukaryota; Metazoa; Chordata; Mammalia; Primates; Hominidae.